Long non-coding RNA from Alligator mississippiensis (American alligator), 1271 nucleotides. RefSeq lists it as uncharacterized. NCBI's taxonomy places the organism in Eukaryota, Metazoa, Chordata, Crocodylia, Alligatoridae. The transcript has 3 exons. The record is from RefSeq and is a predicted model, not a curated record.
GGAUGGCAGACAAUCAGGCUCUGCUAAAUGUUUUGGCCUGAAAUUUAAUGAAAACCACAUUUCAACUCAAAAUAUGCUUUACGUGGCAGUGUAUAAAAUCCAGUUUAUUGCUGUCUGCUUAAAUGCUGAACUCUACAGAACAAAAAUGCCUCAGGAUGAUAUAGGUUCUUGGCUACCAGAAGUGAAAUCAAGGGGGCAUGAAGACCAAUCCUACCUAUGUGUAACGCUACAUCUUCUUUAGACCAUCAAAUUCCUGUAUUAUAAUGACACAUGUAUGCAGAACAUUUCUGUCCACAAAUAUAGCCCUGCUCAACACCUCUGGUAAGCUGUUCAAUUUGUCUCCUGUACAGAAUUUUAUAGCUUUUUUAUUUUUGAUUUAAAGAAUUUUCUUUUUUCUAAUUACUUUAUAGAAACCAAGAAACAGAAAACAUAGAUGAAAGGGGAAAGUAUGAGAUAAAGAGACAGAAAGGAAAAAAAGAGGGAAUAAAACAUACACGGAAAAAUAAUAUUUAGGAAAACCAGAAGCAGCAAUAAGAAAGUAGGUGCUAAAAUACAGGGCUGAAGGAAAUAAAAAAUUAGAUAGAUUUGACAUAAUAGAGAGUGGCUUAAAUUCUGCUCUCAGUUAUGAUCAGUGAAAAUCCAGAUUAAGUUAACAGGUUUCAAUUAGAGACACUUGCAUUUAUGUGAAUGUAACGGCAAAACAGAAUUUGUUUCAGCAUUUUUUUUAAUGAUCUAUAUUGCAAAACUAAUAACAAAACUGUAAACUAAACAUAAAAAUAAUAUAAUAAUAGAAAGCUGCUUAAAGUUUAAUGUAGUGGAAGAAAAGGGACGAAUCAUCUAUAAAGCCUAAACGAGCUCCUAAAACUAUGGGAAAAGGCUAAUUGACUUAAGAAGGGUCUAACAGGCAUGUUCUCCUAGGGUAGGAAAAAAAAUAGCCUGAUGCCCAGUGCUGCCGUGGGAUUUUCAUAUGUGUUAUUAAAUAUGUCUGUAUACAAUCUAUUCUCAUUCAUAUUUGUUUAUGUCUCCAGCUGAUAAAGUUGCUUUUGUUAUUUACAGUACUUCAUCUGGUACUUAAAUCUGUAGGCAGCUUUAUAUCUUUUUUUAAAGAAAGAGUUGUAUGUUUCUACUUUCUCUUUAUACAAAUACACGUCUACUGGAAACAAUGGGUAUGGAGCAGUGACUGUAAACUGGUGGAUUUUAGUUUUUUAUCAAUUUAAAGGUUACAGCCUGACUGUGGAAGGCUGAUGUGAAAACCUAUAGAAGCUGUUCAA